Molecule: long non-coding RNA, 5231 nt
Filed under: Homo sapiens (human)
Lineage: Eukaryota; Metazoa; Chordata; Mammalia; Primates; Hominidae
Description: HSALNT0082235
Source: RNAcentral
CUGCUAGUUUCCUACCCAAAGUCUACUAAACCAUAUUCUUAACUAAUAAAACCUGUAAAUUUCUAGGUGCAGAAAAAAAAUGUCUGGCUUUCCUUCCUGAUGGGGUGGCCAGUGAAAUGUCAGCAAAUGCAUUGGAUGAGAUUGCUGGAAAACAUCUUUGCUCCUGUCCCUUCUUUCUUAAAUAGAACAUGGGCAGGAUAGCUGGAGGCUCAGCAGCCUUGUCUGUGGACCUGAGGUGACCUUAAGGAAAAGCACUAAUAAGGAUGGAGAAAUUAAAAACAAAAACAGCCUGUGACAUAGAAGGCAUCACAGCACCACCACACUGGCCCUCGGCUACUUACAUUUAGGUUGGUGCAAAGGUAAUCACGCUUUUUGUCAUUAAUUUCAACAGCAAAAACCAAUAUUACCUCCAGUCAGCGAGGGUGGUCCCAGUGUGUCCGAAAUUGGUGGGUUCUUGGUCUCACAGCCUUCAAGAAUGAAGCCGCAGACCCUCACAGUGAGUGUUACAGUUCUUAAAGGUGGCAUGUCCUGAGUUUGUUCCUUCUGACGUUCCAGCCUGUUCAGAGUUUCUUCCUUCUGGUGGGUUCGUGGUCUCGCUGGCUCAAAAGUGAAGCUGCAGAUCUUCGGGUGUUAACAGCUCUUAAGUUGGGGCGUCUGGAGUUGUUUGUUCUUCCCAGUGGGUUCUUUGUCUCGCUGGCUUCAGGACUGAACCUGUAAAUCUUCACCAUGAGUGUUACAGCUCAUAAAUGCAGUGUAAACCCAAAGAGUGGGCAGUAGCAAGAUUUAUUGCAAAGAGCUAAAGAACAAAACUUACACUGUGGCAGGCCACUCUAGCAACUUGCUAGUGCUAGCGCGGAGCAGCCUGCUUUUAUUCUCUUAUCUGGCCCCACCCACAUCCUGCUGAUUGGUCCAUUUUACAGAGAGCCGAUUGGUCUGUUUUACAGAGAGCUGAUUGGUCCAUUUUGACAGAGUGCUGAUUGGUGCGUUUACAAUCCCUGAGUUCGACACAAAAGUUCUCCACGGCCCCACUAAAUUAGCUAGAAACAGAGUGUCGAUUGGUGCAUUCACAAACCCUGAGCUAGACACAGGGUGCUGAUUGGUGUGUUUACAAACCUUGAGCUAGAUACAGAGUGCUGAUUGGUGCAUUCACAAUCCCCCAGCUAGACAUAAAGAUUCUCCAAGUCCCCACCAGACUCAGGAGUCCAGCUGGCUUCAUCCAGUGGAUCUCACACCGGGGCCGCAGGUGGAGCUGCCUGCCACUCCGUCGCCGUGCGCUGGCACUCCUCAGACCUUGGGCAGUGGAUGGGAUCGGGCGCCGUGGAACAUGGGGCAGCGCUCGUCGGGGAGACUCAGGCCCGGCAGGAGCAUCUGGCAGUGCGGAGGGAGACUCAGGCAUGGCAGGCUGCAGGUCCCCAGCCCUGCCCGAGGGGAGGCAGCUAAGGCACGGCAAGAAAUCCAGCACAGAGCCGGUGGGCCGGCACUGCUGGGGGACCCGGCACACCCUCCGCAGCUGCUGGCCCGGGUAGUAAGCUCCUCACUGCCCGGGACUUGCGAGCCGGCCUGCGGCUCCCAGUGUGAGGCCCGCUGAGCCCACGCCCACCCGGAACUCGUGCUGGCCCGCAGGCACCCGCGAAGCCCUGGUUCCCGCCCAUGCCUCUCCCUCCACACCUCCCUGCAAGCUGAGGGAGCUGGCUCCGGUCUCGGCCAGCCCAGCAAGGGGCUCCCACAGUGCGGCGGCGGGCUGGAGGGCUCCUCAAGUGCCGUCAAAGUGGGAGCCCAGGCAGAGGAGGCGCCGAGAGCGAGCGUGGGCUGCGAGGGCUACCAGCACACUGUCAACUCUCACCACGGCCAUCCCUCUUUCCAAUCAAGCCGACCUGGAAAACAGAAACUCAAAGCAAAGAGCUCAUCCUACUUCCUCUUUACCCUCCUGUCUGUCACCUUGCUGAAGAAUCUCACUCAUGUGCACAUCAGUUUCAAGUUCUGUCUCUAUUCUCUGCAUGGCCACGGAGAAGCCACCAGCUGAUACCAGAGCGGCAAAGGGUUGUGUGGGAGAUGAGGAAUUCCGCCUGGAAGAGGCUGAGUGUAAGUGGACUUGAGGAGAACCAGGGGACGAUGCCCACACUGGAGCUGGAGGGGCCUGGAGCUCGGGAGAAGGGCGCUGGCUGGAGGCUGGAGUCCGGUGGUGCGAUCUCGGCUCACUGCAACCUCCGCCUCCCGGGUUCACACCAUUCUCCUGCCUCAGCCUCCGGAGUAGCUGGGGUUACAGGCCCCCAGUCCACUUUCUUGGAGUCUGCUGUGUCUGACCAAAAAGCCCAUCUUCGCCACAUCUAAAGCUGGAAGUUCAUUUGCCAGCGUUGUUUAGAGCAAAAAGAGACACAUCGUCAUGCAAAUCUGGACUCACAUUUUUGAACCUCAGCUUCUUCACCCAGAUAAUUAUGACAACAGUCCUCACCUCCAAGGAUUGAUCUGUGCCUCAGCCCUGAACCUAAUGAUGGGCAAGAAAAGAUAUUCCUGCUUCUACCCUACACAACUCUAAGGGGACAGCACACUGAAACCCUCCCAAACUGUCAAGAAGAUCUGAAAAAGUCAAUCACUUUUGCUUUGCACAUAUUUGAUAUUAGCACAGCAUGAAUCCCAGUUUGAGCCCGCAUUAAGUUAAGCCUAGGAUUCGACAUGGGCCCAUGCCUAAGACCUAGGGAAAGGAACUGCAACGGAACAAUGUCCGAAACCCAAGGCUGCUUAUUACAAUCUCGUUCAGAACAAAAGUGCAACCAGGCCGAGCGCGGUGGCUCACGCCUGUAAUCCCACCACUUUGGGAGGCUGAGGCUGGUGGAUCACGACGUCAGGAGUUCAAGACCAGCCUGGCCAACAUGGUGAAACCCUGUCUCUACUAAAAAUACAAAAAGUAGCCGAGUGUGGUGGCGGGUGCCUGUAAUCCCAGCUACUCAGGAGGCUGAGGCAGGAGAAUCGCUUGAACCCAGGACGCGGAGGUUGCAGUGAGCCAAGAUCGCGCCACUGCACUCCAGCCUGAGUGACAGAGCAAGACUCUGUCUCAAAAAAAAAAAUAAAAUAAAAAAAUAAAAGCGCGACCAGACAGCACUGCUUUCUCAUUUCUGCAAGAGUGUAGUUCAAGUCAAAGUCAGAACUGUGAUGCCCUAGACUGCCGAAAAUUGUUGGACCAACAACUGCCGGGAAGCCCAGGGGAGGCCUGGUAGGCAGGCAGAGGCCCAUGAGGAAGAGCUCUCAGCCAGUGCCACUCAGCAGAGCCCUCUGCAUGGAAUUAAUCACAACAAAGAGAAAGAAGGACCCAGAAGAAAAAUCCAAACACCUCAUGGAGUCUCCCCGAAGAGCAGCCCCCAAAGGAAAAUCCAAACACCUCAUGGAGUCUCCCCAAAGAGCAUCCCCCAAAGGAAUCGAAAAGAAUUGGAGCUGGUUGGGAUUUCCAUAGUGUGUGCCAGGGAGACGGUAAAUCAUUACUUUGAUUCUGCUAUACUAGCUUUGUUUUUACCUCCAGGCAGCUGUGAAAGAGGUAAAUAUGGAAUACAUUAACAUAUUAUUUCAGAAAAUUGUAGCCAUUAGGCUCAGCUUGCUUUUUUUUUUUUCUUUGAGACAAAGUCUCACUCUGUCACCCAGGCUACAGUGCGGAGGUGCCAUCAUAAUUCACUGCAGCUUCAAACUCCCAGCCUCAAGGAACCCUCGAGUCUUAGCUUCCAGAGUAGCUGGGACUACAGGCACAUGCCACUACUGCUGGCUAAUUUUUAAAUUUUUUGUACAGACAGGGUCCUGCUAUGUUGCCUAGGCUGGUCUUGAACUCCUGGCCUCAAGCAAUCCUCCUGCCUUGGCUUCUCAGUGUUGGGAUUACAGGCAUGAGCCACAGUGACCAGCCAGGCUCAGCUCUUUAAAACCAUUUCCUCAUCCUUCAUAAUAAGCCAUAGUUUGGACAUAGGGACUUCUCUGGUUAUGUCAAAGAAUAUUUCACAGUCCAACCAAAAAACCAAGUUAAAGGAUUAGAACACAGUUCUCUAUUCUUUCAAAUUACCAUUUUUGUGUACAUUAUCAAACCAGCCAGUUGUCAAGAACGUGGACACUAAAAUAAAAUGCAUCUGUUCAAACACCAGCGAAAGCUCUUAUAGCUGUACAACCCUGAACAAAUUCUUUAAUUUCUGGUGUCUCACUGUCCUCAUUUGUAAAGUGAAGCUAAUAAUUUUAGCUACCUUAUGGUUGUGUUGUAAGGAUGAAAAGGGUUAAUGCAUUUAAAGCACUUAGACCAAUGCCAGGCACCUACUUAAGCUUAGCUCGGUAAAAGUUAGCUAAUAAUGAAAUACACAUUCAUUCUGUGGUAAGAGACCAGCAGGAUUUGCUUUCUGGUCAUAACCCUGCUGACCAAAACAGGAUCUGGUCCAGAGAGGAGAAACUGAAGAAAUCAGCAGAAACCAACAGAUGGCAGAGAGGCUGAUCCCUGGCUGCCCUCAUUGCUUAGUUGCAUAAGAUACUUCCACCAGCACCAUCACAGUUUACAAAUGCCAUGGCAACAAACCAGAAGUUACCAUCCCUUCCAUGGCCACCACCAAGAAGUUACCAUCCCUUUCCUGGAACAUCCUAAAUAACCCACUCCUCAAUUUGCAUUAACCUGCCCCUGAGUUUGCAUAGAAUUGAAGUGUGUAAAAGUGAGUGUAAAUAUAGCUGCCAAUAGCCCAUAUGUUGCUGACUCUGGGCCCACUGCCUAUGAGUUAGCCCUGCUCCACUAGGAGCAGUACCAGUCAAUAAAAGAUUGCUAACACUACUGGCAUGUCCUUGAAUUCUUUCCUGAGCAAAGCCAAGAACCCUCCUGAGCUAAGCCCCUAUUUUGGGGCAUCAAUUCCACGAGUACUUGUGGAGUGCAUGUACAUGAUGAACACUUUUGCACACUGGAGAUAUGGGAGAGAACAAACUAUACAAGAUGAUCUUCCUCAGGGAGCUUAUAUUCUAAAUAUUCUCUAAGUGGAUCAAUAGCUCAAUACUCCAGUGUACCAUAGUUAAAUACUUCCAUACAAUCAGGUAUUCAGAGUUCAUAGCUUCCCGUUGUUACAAAUAGCAUUAGUAACAAUCAAAAUGUCUGCCUAGAUUUUGAAUUUUUUUAGAAUGGACAUCCAGAAAUUGAACUAUUGGGUCAAAAGUUUCCGACAUUAUUUCAAGGAAUAUAUACCUGGUCUUUAAAAUAAUUCAGUUAGCAUCUAUCUGUAAAAUAUAAA